UGCGCUUGCGGAUCAUUUUCUGAUGGCAUUACCAAAUAUCAACAAGCAUUUCUGGCGCCGUUGCCGGGGAGAAAGACGGUUUGCUGAGAUAACUUUUAGUCUUGCUAUUAUCUUGUAUUAUACUUUUAUACUUUUAUUCUUUUAUCUUUUUUUUCAUCUUUAUGGAUAACUCAAAUUCCACACCUAUUAUUGAAUUUUUUGCACCUUUAGAGACCAGUCAUAGACCAUGGGAGUCAAAAAGUCCUUUCUUUGCCCCUAAUUAUGAUCUGUGUCUAGAGUUGAUUGCAAUAGGUCAAAACCAACCCUUUUUUAUAGCUGAGGUCCUAUCUUUUAAUCAAGAAGAUAAUGAACUUUUAGCUACACCUAGGGAAUCUGUUGUUGACGGUCCUUAAGUAUCAAAUAUAAUUAUCAAAUAAACAAAGAAAUGGAUCAAAAUGCAACCGACAUCCAGACUUAGGGUUUUAUCUG
This 468-nucleotide long non-coding RNA is filed under the name Sorghum bicolor (sorghum). Its description in RNAcentral is "long non-coding RNA (SBIC_LNC016211)". Lineage: Eukaryota; Viridiplantae; Streptophyta; Magnoliopsida; Poales; Poaceae. The record is from RNAcentral.